GUGGUGCAAGUGGUUAGCACACUUGGUUGUUAACCAAAAGGCUGGAGGUUCGAGUCCACUC
RNAcentral lists this transfer RNA (61 nucleotides) under Loxodonta africana (African savanna elephant). It matches the Rfam family "tRNA", at positions 7 to 64 of the family's 71-position model. From Rfam's summary of the family: Transfer RNA (tRNA) molecules are approximately 80 nucleotides in length. Their secondary structure includes four short double-helical elements and three loops (D, anti-codon, and T loops). Further hydrogen bonds mediate the characteristic L-shaped molecular structure. tRNAs have two regions of fundamental functional importance: the anti-codon, which is responsible for specific mRNA codon recognition, and the 3' end, to which the tRNAs corresponding amino acid is attached (by aminoacyl-tRNA synthetases). tRNAs cope with the degeneracy of the genetic code in two manners: having more than one tRNA (with a specific anti-codon) for a particular amino acid; and 'wobble' base-pairing, i.e. permitting non-standard base-pairing at the 3rd anti-codon position. Lineage: Eukaryota; Metazoa; Chordata; Mammalia; Proboscidea; Elephantidae. The record is from Rfam by way of RNAcentral.